GACGAACGCUGGCGGCGUGCCUAAUACAUGCAAGUAGAACGCUGGAGGAGGAGCUUGCUUCUCUGGAUGAUUUGCGAACGGGUGAGUAACGCGUAGGUAACCUGCCCGUUAGCGGCGGAGAACUAUUGGAAACGAUAGCUAAUACCCCAUAAGAGUAGAUGUCGCAUGUCAUUUGCUUAAAAGGUGCAAUUGUAUCACUACCAGAUGGACCUUCGUUGUCUUAGGUAGUUGGUGAUGUAACGGCUCAACAAGGCCACGAUACAGAACCGACCUGGUAGGGGGAUCCGCCAAACCUGGACCGGGGAACGGCCCCAAACCCUUCGGGGGGGAGCAGUAGGGAAUUUUUGGGAAUGGGCGGAAGUCUGACCGGGCAACGCCGGGUGAGUGGAGGAGGGUUUCGGAUCGUAAAACUCUGUUGUAAGGGAAGAACGAGUGUGAGAGUGGAAAGUGCACACUGUGACGGUAUCUAACCAGAAAGGCACGGCUAACUACGUG
This 495-nucleotide ribosomal RNA is filed under the name uncultured bacterium. RNAcentral's name for it is "partial 16S ribosomal RNA". It matches the Rfam family "Bacterial small subunit ribosomal RNA", at positions 28 to 507 of the family's 1533-position model. The record is from RNAcentral.